RNAcentral lists this transfer RNA (67 nucleotides) under Thrips imaginis (plague thrips). RNAcentral's name for it is "tRNA-Leu". The record is from RNAcentral. Lineage: Eukaryota; Metazoa; Arthropoda; Insecta; Thysanoptera; Thripidae.
ACUUUUGUAGUAAAAUAAAUACAUUGAUAUUAAAAAUCAUAGAUGAGAUAUAUUGUCUCCUAAAGUA